This 242-nucleotide unclassified non-coding RNA is filed under the name fungal sp. Its description in RNAcentral is "partial internal transcribed spacer region". The stretch from base 1 to 46 matches the Rfam family "Eukaryotic small subunit ribosomal RNA", at positions 1786 to 1831 of the family's 1831-position model. The record is from RNAcentral. Lineage: Eukaryota; Fungi.
AAGUCGUAACAAGGUUUCCGUAGGUGAACCUGCGGAAGGAUCAUUAUUAUUUGGGUCGGGUUUACCUCUUGUCUAGUUUUUUGUGCUCAAUAUUCAAGAGGAGGUAAACUUUUACCAAAUAAUCCUAUUUCAAAAUAGGAGCAAGAACCCCCUUAUAUUUAAAACCCACUCUUAAAAUAUUCUUACGUAUUUUGAAUGAUAAAAAUUAAAGAUCACUUUCAACAACGGAUCUCUUGGCUCUC